RNAcentral lists this ribozyme (69 nucleotides) under Rodentolepis nana. Its description in RNAcentral is "Hymenolepis nana HDV ribozyme from F. prausnitzii". It matches the Rfam family "HDV ribozyme from F. prausnitzii". Lineage: Eukaryota; Metazoa; Platyhelminthes; Cestoda; Cyclophyllidea; Hymenolepididae. The record is from Rfam by way of RNAcentral.
GAGGCGCGCAUAAACACCUCCACGUGGUGCACCCUGGGCAACGUAUAUUCAUACGGCAAAAAAGUCUAU